RNAcentral lists this ribosomal RNA (554 nucleotides) under uncultured bacterium. Its description in RNAcentral is "partial 16S ribosomal RNA". It matches the Rfam family "Bacterial small subunit ribosomal RNA", at positions 355 to 922 of the family's 1533-position model. The record is from RNAcentral.
UGGGGAAUUUUGGACAAUGGCGAAAGCCUGAUCCAGCAAUGCCGCGUGAGGGAUGACGGCCUUCGGGUUGUAAACCUCUUUCAGCAGGGAAGAAGCGAAAGUGACGGUACCUGCAGAAGAAGCGCCGGCUAACUACGUGCCAGCAGCCGCGGUAAUACGUAGGGCGCAAGCGUUGUCCGGAAUUAUUGGGCGUAAAGAGCUCGUAGGCGGUUAGUCGCGUCUGCUGUGAAAACUCGAGGCUCAACCUCGGGCUUGCAGUGGGUACGGCUGACUAGAGUGCGGUAGGGGUGACUGGAAUUCCUGGUGUAGCGGUGGAAUGCGCAGAUAUCAGGAGGAACACCGAUGGCGAAGGCAGGUCACUGGGCCGCAACUGACGCUGAGGAGCGAAAGCAUGGGGAGCGAACAGGAUUAGAUACCCUGGUAGUCCAUGCCGUAAACGUUGGGCACUAGGUGUGGGGUCCAUUCCACGGAUUCCGUGCCGCAGCAAACGCAUUAAGUGCCCCGCCUGGGGAGUACGGCCGCAAGCUAAAACUCAAAUGAAUUGACGGGGUCAU